GAUUAAUUAGAUAGAUGCCGUAAUUUGACUCUGCAAAGGUAGCAUAAGCACUAGUUUUUAAUUAAAAGCUUAUAUGAAUGGUUGCACGAAAUAUGUACUGUACCUUUUGAAUAAGUAGAAUUUAAUUUUUGAGUAAAAAAGCUUAAAAAAUAAUAAAAGACGAGAAGACACCAUAGAUUUGUAUAAAUUUAUUUAAAUUUGUAACUAGGAAUAUUUUAUUAAUUAUAGAUUGAAUAAUUGUUUUGGGGUAAUAGGACGAUUGAUUUAAUUCUUUUUUAAACAUUUCAAUAAUAUUUAAUUAUUUGAUUCUUAUUUAAAGAUUAUAAGAUUAAGUUAUCUCGGGAAUAACAGUGUAAUUUUUUUAGAGAGUUCUUAUCGAUAAGAAAGUUUGAAACUUCGAUGUGGGUUUAAAAGUUUUGAUUAAAAUUUUAUGUGAUCUGAGUUCAGACCGGUGUAAGCCAGGUCGGUUGAAAUAAAUUUAUUUUAGUACGAAAGGACCAAAUAAUUAUUAUUAUUAUAUUUAAAUUAUCAUUAUAAUUA
RNAcentral lists this ribosomal RNA (540 nucleotides) under Antiporus femoralis. RNAcentral's name for it is "partial 16S ribosomal RNA". The stretch from base 345 to 465 matches the Rfam family "Bacterial large subunit ribosomal RNA", at positions 2474 to 2632 of the family's 2925-position model. Lineage: Eukaryota; Metazoa; Arthropoda; Insecta; Coleoptera; Dytiscidae. The record is from RNAcentral.